Tyto alba (common barn owl) is the source of this 193-nucleotide long non-coding RNA. RefSeq lists it as uncharacterized. Lineage: Eukaryota; Metazoa; Chordata; Aves; Strigiformes; Tytonidae. The transcript has 3 exons. The record is from RefSeq and is a predicted model, not a curated record.
CAUUUGGUGAAUUCUGCUUCACGAUGAUAGGAAGAGCUGACACUGAAGGAUCAAAAAGUGACGUUGCUGUGAACGCUUGGCCACCACAAGCAAGUUAUCCCUGUGGUAACUUUUCUGACACCUCCUGCUUAAAACCCAAAAAGCCAGAAAGAUCAUGAGGCCCCGCUUUCACGGUCUGAGAUGGGAAGAGCAA